UAAGCAUAUCAAUAAGCGGAGGAAAAGAAACCAACAGGGAUUGCCCUAGUAACGGCGAGUGAAGCGGCAACAGCUCAAAUUUGAAAUCUGGCGCAAGCCCGAGUUGUAAUUUGUAGAGGAUGUUUCUGGCGAAGUGCCUUCCGAGUUCCCUGGAACGGGACGCCAUAGAGGGUGAGAGCCCCGUACGGUUGGAUGCCUAGCCUCUGUGAAACUCCUUCGACGAGUCGAGUAGUUUGGGAAUGCUGCUCUAAAUGGGAGGUAUACGUCUUCUAAAGCUAAAUACCGGCCAGAGACCGAUAGCGCACAAGUAGAGUGAUCGAAAGAUGAAAAGCACUUUGAAAAGAGGGUUAAAAAGUACGUGAAAUUGUUGAAAGGGAAGCGUUCAUGACCAGACUUGGGCAGGUUGAUCAUCCGUGGUUCUCCGCGGUGCACUCUGCCUGCCCAGGCCAGCAUCAGUUCGCCCCGGGGGAUAAAGGUUUCGGGAAUGUGGCUCCUCCGGGAGUGUUAUAGCCCGUUGCGUAAUACCCUGGGGUGGACUGAGGUUCGCGCUCCGCAAGGAUGCUGGCGUAAUGGUCAUCAACGACCCGUCUUGAAACACGGACCAAGGAGUCGUCUUCGUAUGCGAGUGUUCGGGUGUCAAACCCCUACGCGUAAUGAAAGUGAACGUAGGAGAGAGCUUCGGCGCAUCUCCGACCGAUCCUGAUGUUCUCGGAUGGAUUUGAGUAAGAGCAUACGGGGCCGGACCCGAAAGAAGGUGAACUAUGCCUGUAUAGGGUGAAGCCAGAGGAAACUCUGGUGGAGGCUCGCAGCGGUUCUGACGUGCAAAUCGAUCGUCAAAUAUGGGCAUGGGGGCGAAAGACUAAUCGAACCUUCUAGUAGCUGGUUUCCGCCGAGU
Molecule: ribosomal RNA, 895 nt
Filed under: Clonostachys sp.
Lineage: Eukaryota; Fungi; Ascomycota; Sordariomycetes; Hypocreales; Bionectriaceae
Description: partial large subunit ribosomal RNA
Rfam family: Eukaryotic large subunit ribosomal RNA
Source: RNAcentral